UACGUAGGGUGCGAGCGUUAAUCGGAAUUACUGGGCGUAAAGCGUGCGUAGGCGGUUCGUUAAGUCUGUUGUGAAAGCCCCGGGCUCAACCUGGGAAUGGCAAUGGAUACUGGCGAGCUAGAGUGUGUCAGAGGAUGGUGGAAUUCCCGGUGUAGCGGUGAAAUGCGUAGAGAUCGGGAGGAACAUCAGUGGCGAAGGCGGCCAUCUGGGACAACACUGACGCUGAGGCACGAAAGCGUGGGGAGCAAACAGG
Molecule: ribosomal RNA, 253 nt
Filed under: uncultured bacterium
Lineage: Bacteria
Description: partial 16S ribosomal RNA
Rfam family: Bacterial small subunit ribosomal RNA
Source: RNAcentral